GUCACCGCCGGUGCUGUUCUCGCUCUUUGCUCUACUUUGAUGGGCUCAAUUCUCCCACAGCCUAGAAUACUAAUGGCAAUGGCUAGAGAUGGACUGCUUCCGUCGUUUUUCUCCGAUGUUAAUAAACGCACACAAGUUCCAGUCAAGAGCACAAUCUUAACGGGGGUCUGUGCAGCCGUCCUCGCUUUUUUCAUGGAUGUUUCUCAGCUGGCCGGAAUGGUCAGUGUUGGUACACUU
This 237-nucleotide unclassified non-coding RNA is filed under the name Hevea brasiliensis (rubber tree). Lineage: Eukaryota; Viridiplantae; Streptophyta; Magnoliopsida; Malpighiales; Euphorbiaceae. The record is from RNAcentral.